Molecule: transfer RNA, 69 nt
Filed under: Urocitellus parryii (Arctic ground squirrel)
Lineage: Eukaryota; Metazoa; Chordata; Mammalia; Rodentia; Sciuridae
Also listed under: 1 other name
Description: Spermophilus parryii (Arctic ground squirrel) tRNA
Rfam family: tRNA
About the family: Transfer RNA (tRNA) molecules are approximately 80 nucleotides in length.
Source: Rfam by way of RNAcentral
GGGGCUGUAGCUCAGUGGUAGAGCUCUUGCCUACCAUGUGUGAGGUCCUGGGUUCGAUCCUCAGCACCA